Vigna unguiculata (cowpea) is the source of this 403-nucleotide long non-coding RNA. RefSeq lists it as uncharacterized. Lineage: Eukaryota; Viridiplantae; Streptophyta; Magnoliopsida; Fabales; Fabaceae. The record is from RefSeq and is a predicted model, not a curated record.
CAGUUUCCUGUUCCCUUUCCUUUUCUCUAGUAAGAGCUCUGCUAGGGUACAAUGAACCUCCCACUUCGAGCUAGCUAAGUUUGAUCUGCUUCCAACUCACUACUUUCGUUCUUAGAGCUGUGGUGCCCUUUAGUUGCAGACCUGUUGCGUUUGCUAGCGUCUAAAAAGAUGGGGAAAUAUUGAAGGUAGACCUGAUGGUGGCAGCGGUGCAGUUUAUAUGGCCUAUUGUAUGUGGCUCUUAGGAGCAGUUUUAAGGCCCUGGUGCCUUUGUAAUUCCGUGCUUUAGGAGCAACCCUUUUGUAAACUGUUAAACCUCCUUGAGAUUAUGUUCUCCUCAUGUCAUCUUUGGUGUGCCUUAGCAUUUUUUUUAAGCACUUUCUUGGAUGACUGUACUAGUGGAUCC